Molecule: long non-coding RNA, 749 nt
Filed under: Heterocephalus glaber (naked mole-rat)
Lineage: Eukaryota; Metazoa; Chordata; Mammalia; Rodentia; Bathyergidae
Description: lncRNA (ENSHGLG00000043425.1)
Source: RNAcentral
GCCGGGCGGCGCCGGGCUCGGCUUCCAGUCCGGCGCUUGUUCUGAGGGGCCGAGGGUUCGCCUCGGAACUUAACCGGGGCUGUGAUCACAGGCGUCAGUUACUGUGCUGGCUGCUGUUACGAGCUGCUGCCGGGUUGUUUAGCCCAGGUGCUGGGCGAGGGGCACCGAGAGUCGGUGUUUCGGUCUGCAGCCUCCACGGUUUUGUCAGCAGUGCGGUGAUGGAGGGGUGUGCUCGUGUGGUAAGGGUAGUUAGGCCUGUGUUGCGACCAUUCCAGUUUUCCCACCUCACGUGUCAGGGAAGGAAGGAAAGUUAAUGGGACCUGUUGAGCUGGACAUAAGGAUGCUGUACCAGGAGGUCCUUGUGGAAGAGGAAGCUGUGAAAGUAGGUGGAGAUCAGGCCUUGGAAGUCCAGAAUGCCUUGGCUUGAAAAAUGGGUCAGUUUGAGCACUUAGCACACAGUGGUAUUAUUUGAUCCUGUUUAUAUGUGUGUGUGUGUCUAUUCAAGAUGUCAUUUCUUCAGAAGUAGAAGUUUUUUGGUUAUACUUGAUGUUGUAUUUACAUAAUUCAAUAAAGUAUUAUUCAGUUAACUCUGAAGACAAAAAGGCAUAUUUGUAUAAGAACCAGCAGACUACUUUCAAGACAUAAGAAUGGCUUAAAUUCAGUUACAAUUAAGUAGGUGAGGGUGAGAUGAUCUUUUUUUUGCGGGGGUGGUGGUGAGAUUGUCUUAAGUGAUUGAAAGCAAAAAGCCC